CCCACCCUUUGGGUUCUGCACCUAAUAGCAACUGGUAUCUAAGGUUUCGUGUUUCGCCAUGGCUUGCAAGGUUGCCUCCAUAUUUGCAUCCAUCCUAAUAUUGUCGGUCCUCGUCAUGUCUUGCGAUGCAGCUGGUUUAUCCUGCCCAACUGUAAGAGCGCCGAAUCCGACCUGCCUGAGCCCUCAAAUUUGUGCUAAUCAGUGUGUAGCAGCUGGUUAUUUGAUUGGAUUCUGUGAGUUUUAUGGUAGUCGAUUGGGUGACUGCGUGUGCACCAAAUGCACAAAUGCUGUGCAAGCCGGCCGUCCUCCUACUAUUGCUCCUACUCCUGCAGUGAGAAGGUUGAUUCUGUGAGAAAAAUACAUGGCAUCAUCAAUUUGUGAUGGAUACACCAUGGGAAUAAAUUAACUUGUGUGUUGACGAUUGCUGAAUUUGUUGAAUCGAGUUGUUUUCUUGA
Oryza sativa Japonica Group (Japanese rice) is the source of this 455-nucleotide long non-coding RNA. RefSeq lists it as uncharacterized. The record is from RefSeq and is a predicted model, not a curated record. NCBI's taxonomy places the organism in Eukaryota, Viridiplantae, Streptophyta, Magnoliopsida, Poales, Poaceae.